AGUUGGGGGCGGGACCGAGGGCCGCCGAGCGCAAGGAGGAGACUGAGGAGCAGAGAAGUAACAGCGGGUAAUGUUUCAAGGGAUGACUAAGAGAAGAUGUCAGCGGACUUGAAGAGCUGUCAGCUCCAUUAGGGGAGAUGAGCGAAGGCUGACUCUCUGCCAGCUGCAGUUCCCUCUGCCUGGAAUGCUGUUCCCCCAAGACCCCAGGUGGCUCCUUCUCCAUCUUGCUCCGAAGUCUUCUCCUGAGCGGUGAGGCAGAUUUCCUGAUGAGCACGGCUCCCUUCUCGGAAGCACUUUGUCUGUCUCCUGUACUAGAACGCCAGCUCCACAAGGGCAAGGCGGUUGUUGAUCUUAUUUCUCUCUGUCCCCUCCUAUCUGACACUGUGCCUGGCACAUGGUGGAUGUUCCCAGGAAGUUUCUGGAAUGAGCAGAUGUCUGGGUGUUUCAUUCUCCCAACAGCUGCAAGAGAAGGACUCUAAAGACCCCAUGGAAAGAUGGGCUCUGAGGGUUACAGUGCUGGCCAGAGGUCCCAUAGCCAGGACCUGAGCUCAUUCUGCACAUGAUGCGCUCCUUCUUAACUCAUCACACCCAGCAGCAGACCCAAGGCCCUGGGACCAUGAGAACUGCCUCUGCCCGGGGAAGACCAGCUCACCUGGUCUUCAAGCCCCCACUGCCCUAGCCCGGGGUCGGUUACCUGCACGGCACCCCUGGACAAGGAAGCUCUGGGCCUACCAGCUGAGCUAGAUCUGUCAGCCCUUUUGUUUUUAGAAGCUUCUGGGGGGCCUUGUGGCCAGGCGUUGAAACAAAGGUGUCUGUGUUUCCCUAAGUCCAUUUGGAUUUCAUCCUACUUGCGUUUCACAGGAGGGAAAAUCUACAUUUUUCAUCCAAGAUGAUGCCUUAUCUGACAAGCAUGUGCUGUGAUGGGACUGUAGGUGCUGUGGCUGAAAGGCACCCCCAGGUCUAGAGAAGAGGUUGUUUCAGAUUCCCCUGUGAGCUGGAAGUGGUGGGAGGAGAGCAGGCUUCCUUAUCCCAGUGUCAUGACCAGGCCAAGCCAGCCCUGCACCCUCUUCACCAAGGCCCUGCCUAGCUCUGCUCCCAGGGUGGGCUGGGCUGGGAAACAAGUCAGGGGGUCCAUAGUACAGCUGGGGGCCCCUCCUUCAGGGGAAAGGCGCAAUCGUGCUUCUCAGGAACCAGCUUCAGAUGGAUCCCAGAGGGGCGGGAGGGAGGGGACUGGUCUUCCCUCCUACCACACUGGCAUUCUUUCCUCGAAACCUUGCAAAAUAUGACUGUGCGGCUCCCUGCUGUGGCCCAGCACUUGUGGCAUCAUUGAAAUGCCAGUAGGGGCUGGCACCGGGCCGCCCACGGCCCCAGCAGGCACUGUCCCUGCUGCCCUGGGCUAUGAGGAGCCGAGCGGGUGGGCCCCUCCCACUUCGUCUGAGGCUCAAGAAUGCUGUCAUCUGGCCACCCACAGCUUUAUCAGUGUGGCCUUUCUCAGGAUCACUGGGACAAAGGGCGUGGGCGUCUUCAGGACUCUGGGGGAUUCUGGGAAUGUCUCCGCCUUCCCAAAUCGCCAGUUCCCGGAGCAGGACAGGAACCUCACCCACCUCCUUACUAAAGGAGAAACUGAGGCCCAGAGCGGGGUAGGGACUUGUCUGAGGUCAUGCCUGCUUUGUUGGUGAGAAUUGGACCUUACUUACCAUUUCUGGGUCACAGGCUCCUUUGACAAUGUGAAGGAAAUUCUAGACCAUUACUCCGAUGCCCAAGGGCCAGGCCUGCAGUGUCGAUGGCUGGUAUGGCCUGCUGAGCAUGGGCUUUGUCUGGAGCCCAUGUCCCCCACCUCUGGCUCACUGUGGCCCUGCAGGGCACCCAGUCGUCCAGUGUUUCAGAGGAGCCAAUGAGCCAUCUUUCUGUGUGAAAACUACUCAUGUUCAAAUGUUGGCAAUGCAUUAAAAAUGUAAAACUAGG
Molecule: long non-coding RNA, 1965 nt
Filed under: Macaca fascicularis (crab-eating macaque)
Lineage: Eukaryota; Metazoa; Chordata; Mammalia; Primates; Cercopithecidae
Description: lncRNA (ENSMFAG00000061625.1)
Source: RNAcentral